CAUUUCUUUAAGAACUUGCCAUAGUUUGUUGUGGUCCACACAGUCAAAGGCUUUUGCAUAGUCAAUGAAGCAGAAGUAGAUAUUUUUCUGGAACUCUCUGGCUUUCUCCAUAAUCCAGCGCAAGUUAGCAAUCUAGCCUCAUAAGGUACAGUAAAUACUAUGCAGGAAACAACAUCCUGCUACAAGGCAGUGCUUCAGGGCUACCUGACAAAAUGAAUAUAUUUGAAGUAGCUGACAAGGAAGAAGUUUAAUUCACAGAUGAAGAAUAAUAAUCUUAAAAGAGUCUGAGGUUCCUUUCCGGUGAUGCUUUUCAACAGCUGGAAAAGAAAAGACAGCAAAUGCUUGUGACUAAUUUAAUCCUGCAUGUAACAAGAAGAACCUGGCCAUAUAUCAGAGAACAGACAGAGUGACUCAGUUAAAGGCAGAGCCUUCUGAGGGACAGGCAAGGAUUCUGCCACAAAGCAAAUGAUUCAGAAGUUUCUCCUUUUCAUCAAGUCCAUCGCUGCUGACCUGGGACUUCUUCUGCUCUCACAAUUAGCAGCAGUAAUUAACAGUGGCUCAACAACCAGACUCCUUCUUUGGUGGGAUCAAUGGAUAAUAACCAGGUAAUCCCUUCUGCUGACAUGCUUCCAUCAGUGCAACAGGGAGAGGGCUGUUACUCACCUCCCCGUCAGGACAAGGCACUCACCCUGUGCUUCCAAAAGCUACUAUGGAUGUUUGCUGGACCAUGAAUUAGGGGGCUUUGGUACAGUAAGAAGGGAAGUCCUCUCGUUGAGUGACAGGAUGUCCUGUGCUGGAUUUCACCACAGCAUUCUCUACUCUUUAUACCAAGAUGUCAUUGCUGCUGCUAAACGUCGAGUGUUAUCUGGGGAACAUCACAUUCCCUUUAUCCUAUUUCACGCUGGGCUCCUGCUGUGGGGAGACAGUGCUGCUUGGCCAAGGUACCGAAAAGUCUACCAACAGCUCUGGUUGGGGGAGGACAGCUGAAUCCUUUUGGAAAACAGGGUGAGUGGAAAAGGUUUAACUGCUUGAUUUUUCCUUAGCCACAUCGUGCCUCCAAUAGCCUCAUGGCGCAGUGGUUAA
Molecule: long non-coding RNA, 1083 nt
Filed under: Pogona vitticeps (central bearded dragon)
Lineage: Eukaryota; Metazoa; Chordata; Lepidosauria; Squamata; Agamidae
Description: lncRNA (ENSPVIG00000022331.1)
Source: RNAcentral